UGUGAAACGACCUCAAGUCGGUCGAGGCUAACCGCUAAAUUUAAGCAU
This 48-nucleotide ribosomal RNA is filed under the name Eustrongylides sp. 35 XF-2009. RNAcentral describes it as "partial 28S ribosomal RNA". The record is from RNAcentral. Lineage: Eukaryota; Metazoa; Nematoda; Enoplea; Dioctophymatida; Dioctophymatidae.